CUGACAGACAUGCAAUGUUGACAAUGUAUUGUAGCAGUAUGGAAAUAGGAUUGUCCUGCUACAGUUAACUGCGCCUGCCGACCACUAGGGCGGCGGUAGUAUAUAAAGGCUGCCCCCCUUCUCGCGCCCCACUGAUGCAUAAUUUCCGGGUCAGGUGUCUGUCUGCGCAGAGUAGCGACAGAGUGCUCCGUGCCCCGUGCUCCUUUUUGUUCUUAGGUCCUCUCAACCGGUGGUAGAUGCCUUCCUGCCGUGUGGGUCUUUCUCUCCCUCCCUCUCCCUGUGCAGGUUUGACCUGGGAAACAGGGAAUGCUCAUCAGCUGGCCGAAACCCACAGGUGGUGAUUGAUGUGACAACACUCAGUUGAUUGCUGCUGCUUUGCCUGCAACUUUGCCUGCUGCUUUGACUGCUUUGAUUGCUUUGCCUGCUGCUUUGCCUGCAAUUUUGCCUGCUGCUUUGACUGCUUUGAUUGCUUUGCCUGCAACUUUGCCUGCUGCUUUGACUGCUUUGCCUGCAACUUUUCCUGCUGCUUUGACUGCUUUGCCUGCAACUUUGCCUGCUGCUAACUGCUUCUAACUGCAACUUAGUCUGCUGCUACAUGUAACCUUGUCUGUAACUGUCUGGCCUGUUAAAUGCUGUUAAUUGCAGUUUGAUCCCCGCCGCGACGUACCUAGCAUAUUGCCGGCACCAGACUUGGAUCUGUGUAGUUUUUGAUUCUAGCUGACUGAGUAAUUAAUCCUUUAGUUUGUAUUUCUUUUGGUUUGUUUCCCUUAUUUUCUUUUUGCUUGGGUUACGUGAAUUGUUUGAUCAGGAUGAUUUUUAUGUGAAUUAUUUUCUUUUUCUGUUUUGUGUUGUAAAUUUUUGGUUUAAUCCUCUUGUAACCUUCUUUUUUUCGUUAUCCUUCCUAGCGGCUGUAGGCUGGGCGUGGCGCCGGUGGUGUGGAUGGUGGUGGUCUUCCUCGUGUGUCGUGUUCCAUUGGAUUUUUGUGCUAUCACUGGGUGAACUCUGGUUUGGUUUUCUCUAAGUUUGUUUUAUUUUUCUUUCCCCUUCACCGGCGAUUCUCACCAUUAGGCCUUAGCGAUUACUUUUCUUUUCUUAUUUUGUGAUGAAUGUUAGAUUUUACGGUAAUGUAUAUUUAUUGAAAAAAAAUGUUUUUGUAAACUGGGAACCACGAGCCCUUGCCUAUUGAGUGGAACGAACCUGUGUGCUUUAAAAGGUCUUGGGCCUAUCCCAAGUGGCGUUGCCGGUAGAAUAGGAAACCACUACGCCACAGUAUCAUCACAUGUACCCUUGUGUCACUGAGGUUGAAUGUUUUGCCUUGACAUGUAAACGGGUAACAUAUAUGAAUGUAACUUACUCAAUCGAUAGAUGCAGAGCAUAAAGGUCAGCAUAUGUUCAUGCUAAGUGGUGUGGAAACACUAACAGUUUUGAGGAACCCGUCCUUGACCCUCUAGCAGAACUACGACCAGCCAUUAUAAAGCAGUUUAUAGUUGUUAAUGUUGUGUCAAAGGGUACGGCAUUUAAACAUGUUCUUGCACAAGUUUCCUGGCUUCAUCCCCACCCGGACAGACAUUUUGAUGGAAAGCCAAUAGAAGUUUGGGGCUUGCAGGGAACAGACACGUCAUACAGCAUCACUUCUGCCAGUUGGGCGCAUUGCUAGAAGAUGUGUGGUUAAUACAUCCUCUGUGCAUUUAAGUAAGACCAAAGAAAAGGUCACUGUAGUCCUGCCACUAUGCACUGUAGUUGAGCUCUAGGAGACUGUGAUCUCUGCAGACCCCUCAUGCUGAUUCAAAUGUUGUUUGCAUGGAAUGCUCAUUUUACCUCGAUUAAAACUAAUUUUUUAAAGAA
This is a long non-coding RNA of Gasterosteus aculeatus aculeatus (three-spined stickleback), 1845 nucleotides long. The record is from Ensembl. Lineage: Eukaryota; Metazoa; Chordata; Actinopteri; Perciformes; Gasterosteidae.